GUUUCCGUAGGUGNACCUGCGGAAGGAUCAUUG
This 33-nucleotide ribosomal RNA is filed under the name Faramea trinervia. RNAcentral's name for it is "partial 18S ribosomal RNA". Lineage: Eukaryota; Viridiplantae; Streptophyta; Magnoliopsida; Gentianales; Rubiaceae. The record is from RNAcentral. RNAcentral also lists the same sequence under 3 other names.